CACUCUUUAAUUGGAUGUAUCUGUUGUUGGUUCAGUGCCAGGAGGAUCAUGCAGGUAGGCAUCAGGGAGAACAUGGCAGUAACAUUAUCCUGCCUCUGUGUACCCGCCAGCUCUGUUUACUGAGUCUGUGAGCAGCAGUCUGGGGACUACAAAAAACCCCUGCGACUGAGAAAUUGCUGUGUCAUUGUGUUCUGGUGGCAUCAGUGCACUGAGAGCUGCUGAGCAGAAACCAGAAGCUGAACAUCCAGUUCAACCCCAAAGCGAGGAACUAUGUUGUGACUGAUCUUCUCGGGAGUGCGCCAUGUUUUCAACUGGAUAGCCUCCCGUUGUUGCUGCGUUAAGAAGGAUGGGACAGUUUCAGACUGCAGGUGUAAAGGCCUUCCGGUGUGGACGGUCAGCUGUGAUGGGAAAUCCUCCCAUCAGACUCUUCCAUAACGGCCCCGCUGUAUCUGCUGCUGUUAGAUCCAUCCAUGUUUGCAUCUGCUUUACCUAAACUCUGGGGUUGUGCUGUACUUGUUACAAUGACGACUUGUCUGAAAACUCCUUUUGUAGGUAGCUGGACAGUGUCUGACAUCUGAUAAGUAUACAACACUCUCCACGGUAAUGUAAUCUUCCUAAAUAAGGUAAAAAAAUAAAAUAAAUAAUAACAAUGUAACCCCAAUAUGCGCAGUACAUCAAUUAAAACUGUUGCUGAUCCUUGUAUUGUCUCGUUUAUGAAGCUUUUGUAGCAGUUCCUUUGAUCGUCGGGGGGUUCUGGUCAUGUGACUGACUUUUCCUGGGUGUUUGUCGCCAUCGUGUGGACACAACGAGUAACUACAGCUGGUGUGCAGAAAAGCGGAGGCAAAGCACAGCAAAAAUGAUGUAGAACCAGAGAAUCCAGACAAAAAAUUGCUUAGAUAACUAACAAAUACAUUAUAGAGUUAUACUAAUUCACAUUAUGAUUUGUGCAUAUUUUCCAGAGCAGUGUGCUCCCACAAAAAAAAAAA
Long non-coding RNA from Fundulus heteroclitus (mummichog), 986 nucleotides. RefSeq lists it as uncharacterized. The record is from RefSeq and is a predicted model, not a curated record. NCBI's taxonomy places the organism in Eukaryota, Metazoa, Chordata, Actinopteri, Cyprinodontiformes, Fundulidae. The transcript has 3 exons.